RNAcentral lists this long non-coding RNA (1198 nucleotides) under Numida meleagris (helmeted guineafowl). RNAcentral describes it as "lncRNA (ENSNMEG00000020740.1)". The record is from RNAcentral. Lineage: Eukaryota; Metazoa; Chordata; Aves; Galliformes; Numididae.
UUGGAAAACUGAAAUAUAUCAGUUAGUGUGAAUUCAUACAAAUUAGAGCUGAACACAAAACAAAAUUAUUGCUCUACUAUGACACCUUACUUGGACAAAAUAAACAGAGAAUAAAAAUAUUGUAUUUCAUGGUAGCUAACUAGAUUUAAUUUUGGAAGUUAGUAGUAUGAGAAAAAGCAACUCAGAUUUGUACACCAUAAGCCUUCCCAAGGAAAAAUGAUGCCUUAAGACCUGAAAGUUCCAGGAAGGCAAAGGAAAACCUAGAGCUAGACAGAUUAUGUGUCCAGAUGAAAGGCCUACCAGUCACUCGUUUGUGUCUUGCAUCCUUCAGUAUGAGUGAGGGGCAGAGGACAAAAUGAGAGAAGCCUUGACCUCUUCGUCUAAGCAAUGCCUACGUUACUGUAGAAGCUUCUGGUAAUGCCUACUGUACUGCAGAAGCUUCUGGUGGGUUCAGUCCUCCAGACUUCCACAGACACGUCUGGCAAAAGACAACUACAAACACAAUCACCACCCCAAAACUAAUUACAGCAAAAGGCAAAGGUACUUCUUGACAAUCCCCACUCCCCUGUUCAAAUGGCUAACAUGCAGCACAGUGGAACCUAUAAGGGUCUGUUUUUUUCAUAAACUUACCCACAGAAUGCACUCAGGGAUUGCCUCUUCCAAGUCAUCUUUCUUCUAUAAUAUUUCUCCUGAGAGGUUUCAUAUUAGCUAUUCAAAGCUAUGAAUAUAUAUCAAAAACUAAUCUCACUGUAGCUCAGAGACCCAAAGAAACUCCAGGAGUACAACACUGGCUGUCCUGCAUUCUCACCAACUUAUGGUCUAAAAGGCUUUUGUGCUGUGCUGCAAUGUGUGUGGUACUAAACUGCACUAUUUGUGACUGUUUUUCCCCCCAGCUGUAUAUUAGAAGCCCAAAUACCUGUCAAAUCCAUCAGAGGGCGAAAUCCCUUGGAUUUGGAUGAAUUGUUUUCUGCAACAUCUUUCAAGUGAGUUAAAAAUGAUCAUUUAAGUUGUUAGGAGAACCUAACUACUCAUUUCAAUAAUUUAACAGACUUCUGGUAUAUAGCUAGUACAGUUAUGUUAACAUAAAUCGAAUUGGUCAGAAAGAUACAAAAGUCAUCUAAAAUUAAUAUAUUUUCCUUAAAAUCAAGUAAUACGCAUACUUAAAUCAUUAGAUUAAUAAAUAUAAUUACACUUGUCA